GACAGAGGGUGCAAACGUUGUUCGGAAUUACUGGGCGUAAAGCGCGUGUAGGCGGCAGUGCAAGUCGGAUGUGAAAUCCCAUGGCUCAACCAUGGAAGUGCACCCGAAACUGCGUCGCUAGAGUCCUGGAGAGGAAGGUGGAAUGCUUGGUGUAGAGGUGAAAUUCGUAGAUAUCAAGCGGAACACCGGUGGCGAAGGCGGCCUUCUGGACAGUGACUGACGCUGAGACGCGAAAGCGUGGGGAGCAAACAGG
RNAcentral lists this ribosomal RNA (253 nucleotides) under uncultured bacterium. RNAcentral describes it as "partial 16S ribosomal RNA". It matches the Rfam family "Bacterial small subunit ribosomal RNA", at positions 524 to 776 of the family's 1533-position model. The record is from RNAcentral.